UCCUUGGUGGCUCAGACAGUAAAGAAUCUGCCUGCAAUGCAGGAGGCCUGGGUUCAAUUCCUAGGUCAGGAA
This 72-nucleotide transfer RNA is filed under the name Muntiacus reevesi (Reeves' muntjac). It matches the Rfam family "tRNA". Rfam says of the family: Transfer RNA (tRNA) molecules are approximately 80 nucleotides in length. RNAcentral also lists the same sequence under 2 other names. Lineage: Eukaryota; Metazoa; Chordata; Mammalia; Artiodactyla; Cervidae. The record is from Rfam by way of RNAcentral.